GCCUGGCUGGCUCAGUUGGUAGAGCAUGUGACUCUUGAUCUCGGGGCUAGGGUUUGAGCCCCAUGUUGGGUA
This 72-nucleotide transfer RNA is filed under the name Felis catus (domestic cat). It matches the Rfam family "tRNA". From Rfam's summary of the family: Transfer RNA (tRNA) molecules are approximately 80 nucleotides in length. The record is from Rfam by way of RNAcentral. Lineage: Eukaryota; Metazoa; Chordata; Mammalia; Carnivora; Felidae.